UCCCAAUGAUGAGUUGCCAUGCUAAUACUGA
Molecule: non-coding RNA, 31 nt
Filed under: Callithrix jacchus (white-tufted-ear marmoset)
Lineage: Eukaryota; Metazoa; Chordata; Mammalia; Primates; Cebidae
Also listed under: 1 other name
Source: RNAcentral